CCUACGGGAGGCAGCAGUGGGGAAUCUUCCACAAUGGACGAAAGCCUGAUGGAGCAACGCCGCGUGAGUGAAGAAGGCUUUCGGCUCGUAAAGCUCUGUUGGUAGUGAAGAAAGAUAGAGGUAGUAACUGGCCUUUAUUUGACGGUAAUUACUUAGAAAGUCACGUCUAACUACGUGCCAGCCGCCGCGGUAAUACGUAGGUAGCAAGCGUUGUUCGUAUUUAAUGGGCGUAAAGCGGAUGCAGGCGGUUCAAUAAGUCUGAUGUGAAAUCCUUCGGCUCAACCUGUGAAGUGCAUCUGAAACUGGUGAACUGGAGUGCAGAAGAGGAGAGUGGAAUGCCAGGUGUAGCGGUGGAAUGCGUAGAUAUAUGGAAGAACACCAGUGGCGAAGGCGGCUCUCUGGUCUGCAACUGACGCUGAGGCUCGAAAGCAUGGGUAGCGAACAGGAUUAGAUACCCUAGUAGUC
This 465-nucleotide ribosomal RNA is filed under the name uncultured bacterium. RNAcentral describes it as "partial 16S ribosomal RNA". It matches the Rfam family "Bacterial small subunit ribosomal RNA", at positions 338 to 795 of the family's 1533-position model. The record is from RNAcentral.